CCUACGGGUGGCUGCAGUGAGGAAUAUUGGUCAAUGGGCGCGAGCCUGAACCAGCCAAGUAGCGUGAAGGAUGACUGCCCUACGGGUUGUAAACUUCUUUUAUCAAGGAAUAAAGUGAGCCACGUGUGCCUUUUUGUAUGUACUUUAUGAAUAAGCAUCCGCUAACUCCGUGCCAGCAGCCGCGGUAAUACGGAGGAUCCGAGCGGUAUCCGGCUUUAUUGGGUUUAAAGGGGGCGUAGAUGGGUUGUUAAGUCAGUUGUGAAAGUUGGUGGCUUAACCGUAAAGUUGCAAUUGAUACUGGCAGCCUUGAGUGGGGGUGAGGUAGGCGGAAUGCGUGGUGUAGCGGUGAAAUGCAUAGAUAUCACGAAGAACUCCGAUUGCGAAGGCAGCUUACUAGACUGCGACUGACACUGAAGCACGAAAGCGUGGGUAUCGAACAGGAUUAGAUACCCCUGUAGUC
RNAcentral lists this ribosomal RNA (460 nucleotides) under uncultured bacterium. RNAcentral's name for it is "partial 16S ribosomal RNA". It matches the Rfam family "Bacterial small subunit ribosomal RNA", at positions 338 to 795 of the family's 1533-position model. The record is from RNAcentral.